AAAUUGAAGAGUUUGAUCAUGGCUCAGAUUGAACGCUGGCGGCAGGCCUAACACAUGCAAGUCGAACGGUAGCACAGAGGAGCUUG
Molecule: ribosomal RNA, 86 nt
Filed under: Citrobacter freundii
Lineage: Bacteria; Pseudomonadati; Pseudomonadota; Gammaproteobacteria; Enterobacterales; Enterobacteriaceae
Also listed under: 2 other names
Description: partial 16S ribosomal RNA
Rfam family: Bacterial small subunit ribosomal RNA
Source: RNAcentral